CUUAGGAAUCUGCCUAUUAGUGGGGGACAACAUUCCGAAAGGAAUGCUAAUACCGCAUACGUCCUACGGGAGAAAGCAGGGGACCUUCGGGCCUUGCGCUAAUAGAUGAGCCUAAGUCGGAUUAGCUAGUUGGUGGGGUAAAGGCCUACCAAGGCGACGAUCUGUAGCGGGUCUGAGAGGAUGAUCCGCCACACUGGGACUGAGACACGGCCCAGACUCCUACGGGAGGCAGCAGUGGGGAAUAUUGGACAAUGGGGGGAACCCUGAUCCAGCCAUGCCGCGUGUGUGAAGAAGGCCUUAUGGUUGUAAAGCACUUUAAGCGAGGAGGAGGCUACUAGUAUUAAUACUACUGGAUAGUGGACGUUACUCGCAGAAUAAGCACCGGCUAACUCUGUGCCAGCAGCCGCGGUAAUACAGAGGGUGCGAGCGUUAAUCGGAUUUACUGGGCGUAAAGCGUGCGUAGGCGGCCAUUUAAGUCAAAUGUGAAAUCCCCGAGCUUAACUUGGGAAUUGCAUUCGAUACUGGAUGGCUAGAGUAUGGGAGAGGAUGGUAGAAUUCCAGGUGUAGCGGUGAAAUGCGUAGAAGAUCUGGAGAAUACGAUGGCGAAGGCAGCCAUCUGGGCCUAAU
Molecule: ribosomal RNA, 627 nt
Filed under: Acinetobacter venetianus
Lineage: Bacteria; Pseudomonadati; Pseudomonadota; Gammaproteobacteria; Moraxellales; Moraxellaceae
Description: bacterial SSU rRNA
Rfam family: Bacterial small subunit ribosomal RNA
Source: RNAcentral